This 484-nucleotide ribosomal RNA is filed under the name uncultured bacterium. Its description in RNAcentral is "bacterial SSU rRNA". It matches the Rfam family "Bacterial small subunit ribosomal RNA", at positions 33 to 507 of the family's 1533-position model. The record is from RNAcentral.
GACGACGCUGGCGGCGUGGAUUAGGCAUGCAAGUCGAACGGUAUCAUCCUUGGGGGUGAGAGAGUGGCGAACUGGUGAGUAACACGUAGGUUAUCUACCCUCAAGACGGGGACAACCCAGGGAAACUUGGGCUAAUACCGGAUGUGAGCAACUUUUAGUUGUUUGAAAGGUGGCGUAAGCUGUCGCUUGGGGAUGAGCCUGCGUCCUAUUAGUUAGUUGGUGAGGUAACGGCUCACCUAGGCAAUGAUAGGUAGGCGGCCUUAACGGGUGGUCGCCCACACUGGGAUUGAGAUACGGCCCAGACUCCUACGGGAGGCAGCAGUCGAGAAUAGUCUACAAUGGUCGGAAGACUGAUAGUGCGACGCCGCGUGAACGAUGAAUCCCUUCGGGGUGUAAAGUUCUUUUAUAUGUGAGCAGUGCUUCUUAUAUUAACAGUAUGGGGAGAGAGAUAUUAGCAUAUGAAUAAGCAACGGCUAACUCCGUG